CUGCCAGUAGUCAUAUGCUUGUCUCAAAGACUAAGCCAUGCAUGUGUAAGUAUAAGUAUUAUACAGCGAAACUGCGAAUGGCUCAUUAAAACAGUUAUAGUUUAUUUGAUAUUUGAAAGUUACAUGGAUAACCGUGGCAAUUCUACAGCUAAUACAUGCUUUAAAACCUGACUUUUGGAAGGGUUGUAUUUAUUAGAUAUUAAACCAAUCCCUUAGGGGUUGUGAUGAAUCAUAAUAACUGAUCGGAUCGAGGCUUGCCUCGACAAAUCAUUCAAGUUUCUGCCCUAUCAGCUUUAGAUGGUAGUGUAUUGGACUACCAUGGCUAUCACGGGUAACGGAGAAUUAGGGUUCGAUUCCGGAGAGGGAGCCUGAGAAACGGCUACCACAUCUAAGGAAGGCAGCAGGCGCGAAAAUUGCCCAAUCCCGAUUCGGGGAGGCAGUGACAAGAAAUAACAACCCGGGGCUUUUCAGCCCAGGGAUUGCAAUGAGAACAAUUUAAAAACCUUAUCGAGUAUCAACUGGAGGGCAAGUUCUGGUGCCAGCAGCCGCGGUAAUUCCAGCUCCAGUAGCGUAUAUUAAAGUUGCUGCAGUUAAAAAGCUCGUAGUUGAAUUUCUGCUUAACAGACUAAGGUCCUAGUGAUCUUAUUCUUUGAGCAUCUGUCUGCAACCAUCAGAACGACCUUUACUGGUUGGCUAUGUGAGCAGACGUUUUACCUUGAGAAAAUUAGAGUGUUUCAGGCAGGCUUCAGCCGGAAUACAUUAGCAUGGAAUAAUGGAAUAGGACUGAAGACUAUUUAUUGGUUUAAGGCUUCAGUAAUGAUUAAUAGGAACAGUCGGGGGCAUUAGUACUUAAUAGUCAGAGGUGAAAUUCUUGGAUUUAUUAAAGACUAACUAAUGCGAAAGCAUUUGCCAAGCAUGUUUUCAUUAAUCAAGAACGAAAGUUAGGGGAUCAAAGACGAUCAGAUACCGUCCUAGUCUUAACUAUAAACUAUACCGACUCGGAUUCGG
This 1008-nucleotide ribosomal RNA is filed under the name uncultured soil eukaryote. Its description in RNAcentral is "SSU rRNA". It matches the Rfam family "Eukaryotic small subunit ribosomal RNA", at positions 14 to 1056 of the family's 1831-position model. The record is from RNAcentral.